CAGGGAGACAAUAAAUUGAUUGUGUUGUCUAAGUUUUUUAUCCUUAGGCCGCAAUCCUGUCACCUUAAGGUCGAUCGGUACCUCAUAUUUUUGAAUUAUUUUUAUAAUUGAUUCUUUGAUUUCAGUUCCUAAACUUGUCUAGGUCACACCCAACAAAGGUUUCUCCUGGGCCAUUAGCUCAGGUGGUUAGAGCGCACCCCUGAUAAGGGUGAGGUCCCUGGUUCAAGUCCAGGAUGGCCCAUUCGUUGUUGGGGGUAUAGCUCAGUUGGUAGAGCGCCUGCUUUGCAAGCAGGAUGUCAGCGGUUCGAGUCCGCUUACCUCCACUGAAAACUAUCCUGAUAACUAAAUUCUGGAGAAAAAAUUGUUGACGUGGCUUAGAAUUGUCUAUCUGAAGAGAACCUAGCUUCUUGUCAUCUUUUUAUAGUUGAUAAAAUGCUGGGCUCGCAUGGUUUAUUUCCAUGAGAAUUCAGUAGAACCUUGAAAACUGCAUAGAUUAGAAAGAAUAAAGCAUCUCAUGGGUGCAUAAUUCUGUUUUUAUAAUUUAGCUUUAAAACUAAAUUAUUUAAUUCUAGAAUUCAUGUUUAAUUCUUGAGUAAAAGCCGAGCACAAUUGAUUUUGUGAUUGUAUUUAA
This 631-nucleotide transfer RNA is filed under the name uncultured cyanobacterium. RNAcentral's name for it is "16S-23S ribosomal RNA intergenic spacer". The stretch from base 251 to 323 matches the Rfam family "tRNA". Lineage: Bacteria; Bacillati; Cyanobacteriota. The record is from RNAcentral.